AUUGAACGCUGGCGGCAUGCCUUACACAUGCAAGUCGAACGGCAGCACGGGAGCAAUCCUGGUGGCGAGUGGCGAACGGGUGAGUAAAGUAUCGGAACGUGCCCAGUCGUGGGGGAUAACGUAGCGAAAGUUACGCUAAUACCGCAUACGAUCUAUGGAUGAAAGCGGGGGAUCGCAAGACCUCGCGCGAUUGGAGCGGCCGAUAUCAGAUUAGGUAGUUGGUGGGGUAAAGGCUCACCAAGCCGACGAUCUGUAGCUGGUCUGAGAGGACGACCAGCCACACUGGGACUGAGACACGGCCCAGACUCCUACGGGAGGAAGCAGUGGGGAAUUUUGGACAAUGGGCGAAAGCCUGAUCCAGCCAUGCCGCGUGCAGGAUGAAGGCCUUCGGGUUGUAAACUGCUUUUGUACGGAACGAAAGGGUUUGGCCUAAUAAGCUGAGCUCAUGACGGUACCGUAAGAAUAAGCACCGGCUAACUACGUGCCAGCAGCCGCCGUAA
This 500-nucleotide ribosomal RNA is filed under the name uncultured bacterium. Its description in RNAcentral is "partial 16S ribosomal RNA". It matches the Rfam family "Bacterial small subunit ribosomal RNA", at positions 30 to 523 of the family's 1533-position model. The record is from RNAcentral.